GAACGGACCCUUCGGGGUUAGUGGCGGACGGGUGAGUAACACGUGGGAACGUGCCUUUAGGUUCGGAAUAGCUCCUGGAAACGGGUGGUAAUGCCGAAUGUGCCCUUCGGGGGAAAGAUUUAUCGCCUUUAGAGCGGCCCGCGUCUGAUUAGCUAGUUGGUGAGGUAAUGGCUCACCAAGGCGACGAUCAGUAGCUGGUCUGAGAGGAUGACCAGCCACAUUGGGACUGAGACACGGCCCAAACUCCUACGGGAGGCAGCAGUGGGGAAUCUUGCGCAAUGGGCGAAAGCCUGACGCAGCCAUGCCGCGUGAAUGAUGAAGGUCUUAGGAUUGUAAAAUUCUUUCACCGGGGACGAUAAUGACGGUACCCGGAGAAGAAGCCCCGGCUAACUUCGUGCCAGCAGCCGCGGUAAUACGAAGGGGGCUAGCGUUGCUCGGAAUUACUGGGCGUAAAGGGCGCGUAGGCGGAUCGUUAAGUCAGAGGUGAAAUCCCGGAGCUCAACUUCGGAACUGCCUUUGAUACUGGCGAUCUUGAGUGUGAGAGAGGUAUGUGGAACUCCGAGUGUAGAGGUGAAAUUCGUAGAUAUUCGGAAGAACACCAGUGGCGAAGGCGACAUACUGGCUCAUUACUGACGCUGAGGCGCGAAAGCGUGGGGAGCAAACAGGAUUAGAUACCCUGGUAGUCCACGCCGUAAACGAUGAUUGCUAGUUGUCGGGCUGCAUGCAGUUCGGUGACGCAGCUAACGCAUUAAGCAAUCCGCCUGGGGAGUACGGUCGCAAGAUUA
RNAcentral lists this ribosomal RNA (785 nucleotides) under uncultured bacterium. Its description in RNAcentral is "bacterial SSU rRNA". It matches the Rfam family "Bacterial small subunit ribosomal RNA", at positions 64 to 896 of the family's 1533-position model. The record is from RNAcentral.